AGAUGGGCCCGCGUACCAUUAGCUUGUUGGUGGGGUAACGGCCUACCAAGGCCACGAUGGUUAGCUGGUCUGAGAGGAUGAUCAGCCACACUGGAACUGACACACGGUCCAGACUCCUACGGGAGGCAGCAGUGAGGAAUUUUGCGCAAUGGGCGAAAGCCUGACGCAGCAACGCCGCGUGAGUGAUGAAGGCCUUCGGGUCGUAAAGCUCUGUCAAGUGGGAAGAACCUAUAUAGUGAUAAUACCAUUAUAUACUGACGGUACCACUGAAGGAAGCACCGGCUAACUCCGUGCCAGCAGCCGCGGUAAUACGGGGGGUGCAAGCGUUAUUCGGAAUCAUUGGGCGUAAAGAGCACGUAGGCGGCCUGGUAAGUCAGAUGUGAAAGCCCGGGGCUUAACCCCGGAAGUGCAUUUGAUACUGCCAGACUUGAGUAUGGGAGAGGGAAGUGGAAUUCCUGGUGUAGAGGUGAAAUUCGUAGAUAUCAGGAGGAACACCGGUGGCGAAGGCGACUUCCUGGACCAAUACUGACGCUGAGGUGCGAAGGCGUGGGUAGCAAACAGGAUUAGAUACCCUGGUAGUCCACGCAGUAAACGUUGUUCACUAGGUGUAGCGGGUAUUGACCCCUGCUGUGCCGCAGUUAACGCAUUAA
RNAcentral lists this ribosomal RNA (650 nucleotides) under uncultured bacterium. Its description in RNAcentral is "bacterial SSU rRNA". It matches the Rfam family "Bacterial small subunit ribosomal RNA", at positions 223 to 863 of the family's 1533-position model. The record is from RNAcentral.